GUGUGGCAGCUCAUAGGUCACCUUUGGAGCCAAGGUGAAGAAACGGAACUGCAGAGAGGUUAAGCCACCUGGGGCAGGAACUAGGAUGGAAAUCCAGGCAGUCUUGUUGCUGAGACCAUCUCCAUAAUCCUCUGCUAAACUUCUUCCUACCGAGAAAGACAUGUUCUGGGAGAGCAAGGGCUAAGAGGCUGCUCCUUGAUUCCCCCUGAGUGCCCGCCCUCCAGCCCUCACUCCAGUGAGGGGCCUGACCUGAAACAGCUGUCUGCCCUUGCCAGGCUCAGAGAGUCUCACACUGUCACCAGGCUGGCGUGUAGUGGCGCAAUCUCGGCUCACUGCAACUUCCACCUCCCGGAUUCAAGCAAUUCUUCUGCCUCAGCCUCCUGAGUAGCUGGGACUACAGAACAGAAGCUAAAGCAGAAAGAAGUUUAAUGGAGACCUGGAAGCCUCUCCGUAAAGACUCUGGGGCAGGAAUGGGAUCUGUUUGCAGGGCUCAGGGAGGACCCACGGCUCCUGUGGAGGCUUACGCGGCACCUGAGAAGUGAUCAGUCAGGAAGAGCUACCUGGAGUACCUGAGCCCAACCAGAUAUUCUUUUCCCCGCCGUCUUCCCCGGGAUCCAGCAAUUUAUAUUCCCUACCUCAGGAAAUCUUGGAAAAGUUAUUCCAGCAGAAUGAAGCAAUGUACUAUUCCAGCAGAACAUAGUCAGGACCUGGUGACGUGGGGGUUUGGCAAUGAUCAAUGACCCUGGUGUCAUACUCUAAAUUUGUUUCAAAAGUGGCAGCAGGGGAGAAGGAGGCAGUGAAAUCAAUACUUGAAGUUUGUCUUGAUUGGAUGGGGUGUGUGUUUUCUUUUCCACCCUAGUUGUUGUUGAAGCUGUUUACCAAAAGGCUGUGCAAAUAGGAUUAGUCAGCUCCAGGGCCAUUAAUAACCCGCUGGACAGAGCUGGCUCCAUUCCAAUUGAUUUUUGAAUUUUUGAAGCUGUCCAUUUUUUUGGAGCAGAGAUGAAAGCCCCAGAGGGGCUGGUAUGAAAGCAUGAGAUUUUUGCCUGUACUGGGGCUGAUCCCACAGAUGCAGGAGAUGAAACGUUCUUCCAGUGCCAUUUGCUUUCCAUCUGAAUGAGGCAGGUCCUGCGGCAGCUCUGAAGAGGCAGGGGCCAUCACAAACGAAUAUUGCAGCAGGUCAAGGGGACACUGCUAUUGUGUGCACACUGAUGGAGACCCAGAGUAAAACGUGGCCUGAGGUUUGCCAGAAUGUGCUUAAGAAGCAAACCUCACAUACCUGAAACUCUCUUCGUGCCCUCCUGUCCUUCCAAAAACUAUCAGUUCGAAUAUCCUGAGAAAUGUCACAUAGGUAAGCUGUAGGACCAUCCUUGAGAGGUUGCUGUUGGUAAAAACCAAUGGGGCCAGAAAACAUGAAUUUAUAUCCCAGCACUCUGGGCUAUAACUUUGAGCAAAUUAAUCUCUCUGAUAUUCUAUUAUAGCAAUUGUGAAUUGACAAUGUCAUCAUAGCCCAUUUCUUAUUUCUGAAAAAGUGCUUUUUCUGGAUCUCAUUCACUUAAGAACUCAAAUUCUAAACAUGGAGACCAUCAGAGCCAAGGUCCUU
Molecule: long non-coding RNA, 1600 nt
Filed under: Homo sapiens (human)
Lineage: Eukaryota; Metazoa; Chordata; Mammalia; Primates; Hominidae
Description: HSALNT0372329
Source: RNAcentral